RNAcentral lists this ribosomal RNA (460 nucleotides) under uncultured bacterium. RNAcentral describes it as "partial 16S ribosomal RNA". It matches the Rfam family "Bacterial small subunit ribosomal RNA", at positions 338 to 795 of the family's 1533-position model. The record is from RNAcentral.
CCUACGGGAGGCAGCAGUGAGGAAUAUUGGUCAAUGGGCGCGAGCCUGAACCAGCCAAGUCGCGUGAGUGAUGACGGUCCUACGGAUUGUAAACUUCUUUUGCCGGGGAGCAAGCGUGCGUUCGUGAACGCGCGUCGCGAGUACCCGGAGAAAAAGCAUCGGCUAACUCCGUGCCAGCAGCCGCGGUAAUACGGAGGCUGCGAGCGUUAUCCGGAUUUAUUGGGGUUAAAGGGUGCGUAGGCGGGAUGCCACGUCAGCGGUAAAAAUGCGGUGCUCAACGCGGACGAGCCGUUGAUACUGGCGUUCUUGAGUGGGGGAGAGGUAUGUGGAAUGGGUGGUGUAGCGGUGAAAUGCAUAGAUAUCAGGAAGAACUCCGAUUGCGAAGGCAGCAUACCGGCGCCCUACUGACGCUGAGGCACGAAAGCGUGGGUAUCGAACAGGAUUAGAUACCCCGGUAGUC